This 460-nucleotide ribosomal RNA is filed under the name uncultured bacterium. Its description in RNAcentral is "partial 16S ribosomal RNA". It matches the Rfam family "Bacterial small subunit ribosomal RNA", at positions 338 to 795 of the family's 1533-position model. The record is from RNAcentral.
CCUACGGGAGGCUGCAGUGAGGAAUAUUGGUCAAUGGACGAGAGUCUGAACCAGCCAAGUAGCGUGAAGGAUGACUGCCCUAUGGGUUGUAAACUUCUUUUAUAAAGGAAUAAAACGAGGCACGUGUGCCUUUUUGCAUGUACUUUAUGAAUAAGGAUCGGCUAACUCCGUGCCAGCAGCCGCGGUAAUACGGAGGAUCCGAGCGUUAUCCGGAUUUAUUGGGUUUAAAGGGAGCGUAGAUGGGUUGUUAAGUCAGUUGUGAAAGUUUGCGGCUCAACCGUAAAAUUGCAAUUGAUACUGGCAGUCGUGAGUACAGUUGAGGUAGGCGGAAUUCGUGGUGUAGCGGUGAAAUGCUUAGAUAUCACGAAGAACCCCGAUUGCGAAGGCAGCUUACUAAACUGUGACUAACAUUGAUGCUCGAAAGUGUGGGUAUCAAACAGGAUUAGAUACCCCAGUAGUC